UAGGGAAUCUUCGGCAAUGGGGGGAACCCUGACCGAGCAACGCCGCGUGAGUGAAGAAGGUUUUCGGAUCGUAAAGCUCUGUUGUAAGAGAGGAACGUGUGUGAGAAUGGAAAGUUCACACAGUGACGGUAACUUACCAGAAAGGGACGGCUAACUACGUGCCAGCAGCCGCGGUAAUACGUAGGUCCCGAGCGUUGUCCGGAUUUAUUGGGCGUAAAGCGAGCGCAGGUGGUUGUAUAAGUCUGAAGUAAAAGGCAGUGGCUCAACCAUUGUGUGCUUUGGAAACUGUACAACUUGAGUGCAGAAGGGGAGAGUGGAAUUCCAUGUGUAGCGGUGAAAUGCGUAGAUAUAUGGAGGAACACCGGUGGCGAAAGCGGCUCUCUGGUCUGUAACUGACACUGAGGCUCGAAAGCGUGGGGAGCAAACA
Molecule: ribosomal RNA, 427 nt
Filed under: uncultured prokaryote
Description: bacterial SSU rRNA
Rfam family: Bacterial small subunit ribosomal RNA
Source: RNAcentral